CCCGCUGCAAUCCAACUUGCGAAAGAAGGGGCGACGCGAUGCGGCGGUCUCGCUUUCUCCUCGCCGGCUACACCGCCGCCCGAGCCGUAUCGGGCCUCCGCGGCUAUCGGCCUCUCUCUUCCGCCUCCGCCGACACCCCGGCCCAAGUCCUAUCCUCCACGCCGCCGCCACCUGCGCGGACACUCGCCGACCUACGCCGGCGCCUAGCCGAGGAAUCUCCCGCCUUCUCUGAUUUCGUCUACUCUGUUGAGGUCGGGACUAAGAAGAGGUCGCUUGCCAAGCCUAAGUGGAUGAAGGAGACCAUCCCUGGGGGCGCCAAGUACGCCGCCAUCAAGUCCAAGCUUCGGGAACUCAAGCUCCACACGGUGUGCGAAGAGGCCAGGUGCCCUAACCUCGGGGAGUGCUGGUCGGGAGGCGAGACCGGCACUGCCACUGCCACCAUCAUGAUCCUGGGGGAUACUUGUACCCGCGGUUGCAGAUUCUGUAAUGUAAAGACAUCGCGCACUCCUCCUCCACCAGAUCCAAACGAACCUUCUAAUGUUGCUGAAGCAAUUGCCUCAUGGGGUUUGGAUUAUAUUGUGAUUACUAGUGUUGAUCGUGAUGACUUGCCUGAUCAAGGAAGUGGCCAUUUUACUGAAACUGUACAAAAGUUGAAGGCUUUCAAACCAAAGAUUCUGAUAGAAGCACUAGUUCCUGAUUUUCGAGGAGAUCCCAGCUGUGUGGAGAAAGUUGCAAAAUCUGGAUUGGAUGUUUUUGCUCACAACAUUGAGACAGUUGAAGAGCUUCAGAACAUGGUCCGAGAUCACCGUGCUAACUUCGAACAAUCGAUUGAUGUCCUUAAAAUGGCAAAAGAGUAUGCUCCAUCUGGGACUCUUACAAAGACAUCAAUUAUGUUGGGUUGUGGUGAAACACCUGAGCAGGUAAUCAGCACAAUGGAGAAAGUGAGAGCUGCAGGAGUUGAUGUCAUGACAUUUGGUCAGUACAUGAGACCAUCAAAAAGGCAUAUGCCAGUCUCAGAGUAUGUUACACCAGAAGCUUUCGAGAAGUAUCGAUCACUUGGAGUUGAAAUGGGGUUCCGAUAUGUUGCAUCUGGUCCUAUGGUCCGAUCAUCAUAUAAAGCAGGUGAAUUUUACAUCAAGUCAAUGAUCGAAGCUGAUCGAGCUAUGGCUUCCUCCACAUCAAAUGAUGGAUCUUAGUCACAUUGUUCGAACUUAGUGAGGAUAAAGAGGUGAGUCAGCAGCGCCGCCAUCUCCCAUGCCAAGGUUGCUGCCACAACACCAUCUACCAACUCAGCAUGAUUUCUGGGCUUAUAAACAGUGGCCUAGAUGUAGCAUUCGCCACCCUUUUCUGUUCGAAGUGUCAUACAUAAUGCAUGAUCGGAAAGUGAUACAUGGAUUGGAAUGGGCGUUGAGGCAAACUUCUGGAAAAACUGCAUGUGAUAUGCAAGUACAGGAGGAGUCAGACUGCACUAUUCUGAGAUGAUGGAUUGGUCAGUCUUCAACAAUGUCCUGCCGCAAUUAUCGUUUACGAGCCACAAAAGUCAACGGUGGAUCCUUGGAGAAGUGUGAAACCCAUCAUCAGGAGAGAAUGAUUACUUAAUUGCCGAAGGUUAUGUUCAUAUUUCUGUGUGACUUUGACCUUUUUUAUCCCCACAAGAGGGUGGUCAGAAUGAGAAUUGGCCAAAUCGAUGAACUUGUAUCGAUUCAUCUUCA
Molecule: RNA transcript, 1712 nt
Organism: Musa acuminata AAA Group (dessert banana)
Lineage: Eukaryota; Viridiplantae; Streptophyta; Magnoliopsida; Zingiberales; Musaceae
Gene name: lipoyl synthase, mitochondrial-like
Exons: 6
Source: RefSeq, a predicted model, not a curated record